This 2184-nucleotide ribosomal RNA is filed under the name Triticum aestivum (bread wheat). RNAcentral describes it as "partial small subunit ribosomal RNA". The record is from RNAcentral. Lineage: Eukaryota; Viridiplantae; Streptophyta; Magnoliopsida; Poales; Poaceae.
AUGGGUGGAGGGCUAGCAUCCUUUUGGGAAGAAAGGAACAUCCAGACUCUGGUGAUCCUCAGCUUCGCCCUGCAAGCCAUCCUCCUCUGCUGUGCAGGGAUCCGGCGCAGCCGCGAAGCCUCGGGUGUGCUCAGAAUCCUCCUCUGGCUGGCGUACCUGAUGGCCGACUACACCGCAAUCUACGCCCUUGGCCACAUGUCCAUCACCAUGAGCAGGAGCAGGACCCCUCCAGGUCCAGGCGACCACCACCAGAUGCGGAUGGUGCCAUUCUGGGCUCCCUUCCUGCUGCUCCACCUCGGCGGGCCGGACACCAUCACCGCCUACGCCUACCAGGACAACCAGCUCUGGCUGCGCCACCUGCUCACGCUCGCGGGCCAGGUGCUCGGCGCCAUCUAUGUCAUGUACCUCUUCGUCGCGCCCGGCAGGAACCCGGCCGGGACGCUGCUCGCCGCCGCCGCGUUGAUGUUCGCCACCGGCUGCCUCAAGUACGGGGAGAGGACGUGGGCGCUCAAGCGCGGCGGCAUCGACAGCAUCAAAAGCUCCCUCGAUGACAAUGGCAAGUCAUCGGCCACCGGUGGUCCUUACCAUGGGAGGGAGGGGGCAAAGAGGCUGGACACGGAGGAGGUCCUGCUGGGUGCACACCACAUGCUCAAUUUCUGCAAGGGCCUCCUGGCUGAUGGUCCAGUGAUGCAGAAGUCCGAGUACGAAGUCAUGCGGCAAGGCAUCCAGCUCAACGGCGGCAACUACGUGUUCCAGCUGGCCGCCAUGGAGCUCUCCCUCCUGUACGACAUACUCUACACCAAGGCGGCGGUGCUCCACACCUGGCACGGCUUGUGCAUCCGGAUCGUCGCGCCGCUCUCCGUGGUCGCCGCGUUCGUGCUGUUUCAGCUCAGCAGCAAGGAGGCCUACAGCAGGGCUGACGUCGCCGUCACCUACGUCCUGCUCGCCGGUGCCAUGGCAUUGGAGCUCGCGUCUUCUCUCAGGGCGGCGGGGUCUUCCUGGGCGUGCGCGUCCUACCAUGCCCGGGGAUGGCACUGGCUCUGCGGCACGGUGAUGCGCCUCCGCCGGAUGCUCAAGGUUGGAGCAAGGAGGAGUGCCUCCCUGGACUCGCUUGGGCAGUACAACCUGCUGGACCUCUGCACCGAUGCCAACAAGGACGGCCACCUGAGAGGCAAGAUCGCCAAGAUGAUUGGACUUAAGGACCGAUGGCAGAAGAUGCACUACUCGAGCACCGCCCCCGUCUCCGACGCCAUCAAGACUCUGGUGCUGACAGAGAUCAGGAAGAGGAAAAUAGAUGAUCUGAGGAAUGCACGGGGCAGGUGGAUCCUCAAGGAGAAAGAGAUGUACGAGGAUCUCACGCGGAUCGCCGACGACACCGAGCUGGACCGUAGCAUCAUGGUGUGGCACAUCGCCACCGAUCUCUACCUCUCCAUGUGCCCUGGCCCUGACCCUGACCCCGACAAGGAGGUCCGGGACAGCAUAAGGGUGCUCUCCAACCACAUGCUAUUCCUCAUGGUGGUGCAUCCCUACCUGUUGCCCGGAGUUGUUCGCACUGGCCGGUACAAGGAGAACUUGAAGUACUAUGAUAUGGUGUGGUGGGUCAAUUUGAAGGCCACCAAGGAAAGCACCAUGAAGCUGUCCAGACCGGGGAUCAUCAGCAAGAUAGCCGACAGGCAGCUCCCGGCUGAUUCGAGGCGCGAGUACAUUUACGGCAUCGGCGAGGAAGCUGCUGACGACGUCGGCGACAGGCCGGUCUAUGCCGACGGAUCCUGGCUCGCCGGGAUGCUACACGGGAACAGGUGGCACCUGUCCGCUGCUGACAUGCUGGAGGUCAUCGCCGGCGUGUGGGUGGAGAUGCUGUGCUACGCGAGCCACCACUGCGGCGAGGAGUCUCACGCCAAGAAGCUAAGCACCGGAGCAGAGUUCAUGAAUGCCGUCUGGCUUAUCAUAGGGCAUGCCACGGUGUACGACAGGUACGCACCGUCUGCCGAGGGCUUGACGGGGGGUUUAGGGCUCAGCAACCCUCCGCGCAAGCGGAAGAUCCCUGCCAGAUGGAUGCAGCAGCCGGAGGCGGACGUCGGACCCCGACCGCCUGGUGUACCACCCGGUGUUCACCCUGCAUACGCGCCCUUUUUUGACGUUGAAGCACACCAAACAUCAAGUGCACAAAGACACCACCAAUAG